ACAUCUUCCUGUUAAAGUUGUCCCUUAGGAAGAAGGACCAGAACCUGAACAGAGUGUUCAUCUCCUGAGACUGGCCAACUCCCAAACGUUUCCUCUCUGGAAAAAAAAAACGAUCCAACCUUAAUGUUUACAGUGGAGAGAGGGAAGCUGACCUGUCCAUCAAUGGUGCCACUCUCCUUCAUGACCGGGUAGAAGCGCGGCGUCUUGUUGGGAUCCUGCCGUCCAGGGGUGCGAGGUGUUCUGGGGGUUCGGGGCUCGUGAGCGAUGGGUGACUCUGCGACCGUUGUAGGCAGAGAAUGGGCCAGUUCUACUCUACUGUCCACUAAGAUUUAAAACACAACAAACAUUAAAUUUAUUAUCUCUUAUUACUUUUCCAUUACUCUGAUUAUAUAAAACAAGCUUGGUCAACAGAAUGCUCUAUUUGAAUAAAACCAACAAACUCACCUGGCAUUGGAGGAUUAGGGACUUCCUGGUUCGGGUCAAUGGGCACUUUAGGGGCAAGUGUGUCAAACUCAUCUUUACUGAUGACACUCAGCUUCUUGAAGUUUUCCACUUCCUGCUGGAGUAGCAAAGAAACAAGAGUUUUAAAACUAUUUGGGAACUAUUGCACAUUUACGUUUAUUUCUAUGUUGUGUUACGUUGCUACACUUAUGAAAAUAUAGAAGCUUGAGCUGAACUCCAAGCAAACACUACUUCACUGCUUCAUCUCAUUUUUAUGAAGAAACUAAACUAUAGUAGAACAAACACCACACUGCCCUGUUGCAUGACCACGUAGAUAAAAACACACAAUCUGACCGUUCAGGCUGUAUAAAGUGAUGAGUGUGCAACACAGCGGUAAACAUACUAGAUAUGCCAGCGCGUAGGCCUGUGUGACACACAGCAGAUGUGCAGCGUACUUUGAACAUUACACGUCAGCGUCAGGUACAGGAAUGAAAAAAAAAAAACAAAAAAAAAACACCAUGAUGAUGCCGUGUGUGCCCAGGCAAGACAUUUCCAAAUUUCCCACCUUUGGGGACAUGACUGACCACCUUUGACCACAGAAUGAGCUGACCACGCUGAAAACCACCAAGAGGAGACACAAUUGGCAGCUCUGCAAUUUUUAGCUUGUACAGAGUAAAUAGAAGUUUAAUCAAUAGCGUAGUUACGAAGCGCAAAAUUCAAUAUUUUCCUUCCAAGACGCCAAACUCUGUUUACAAAUGCAGAACAAAAAAAUAACCAAUCAGGAGUAUUUAUUGCUUUGUUAUGCAUCGUGUUAUUUGAUAAGUACGAAUCAGGCACCACACGCUGAAACACAGAAACUCUCUGGUUUUGACUGUUGCUGCUAUAAAACCCAUUGGUUAAUAAUAAGGCAAGUCAUUCCAAAAUACUCACUUCCUGUUAUUGAAAGGAAACACAGCCAAGGUCAAAGCAGAAAGGUUUAAUGAAUUUUACUUGCUGGAGCCUACAGUUAAAACAACAGCCCUUUAUUAAGCAACACAACUCUCCACAGCAAAAACUUAAACUGAAACCUCUGUACUGCUCUGAACUGGAUUCACAUCAGUCUCUCGUGUGCAUUCUUCCCUGAGGCCUGCAGUUCUGUUUGUGUUACACAGUUUUAAAAUGUUUAUCCAUAUUACUGUAUGUUCAAGCUGUUGUAAGUUUCACUAGCAUGCAAAAACAACAACUGGCCAACUGUAGCACCAUCAAAUAGUGUCUGCAUGUUCUUCUGUGCCCAGUUCAAAUCAAUCUUUCUUUUCUUUGCCAUGGAAAUCAGGUUAAAAUUGUAAUGACGUAAACCCUCAAACCAUUUCUUUGAGAUACACUUUGAAUCGGUUUCUUGUCUGUAGGUCAUGAAACCUGAUUAUCAUGUGGUAUUUUAGCUGACCCAUGUUCAGGCUUGACUUGACACACAUUAUGCAUGUAAAUUACUGCACUGGGUGUCGAUUUUCUGCCUCUCUGAUCUGCAGGAUGCCUGAUCCUGAACAUCUUUGGCUCCCUGAACUAAUGGGAUAUUUUUCUUUAUAUGUGCACAAAAUAUCAGAGCGAUAAACAGCAAAGAUCUUUAAGCAUGAACUCUGUAAACGCUACUCUACAUCAUCAUAUAUAAUUAAAUAUUAUUUUAUAUUACUAUUAUAAUAUAUAUUAUAUUAAAUUAGACUUUAUAUUAUUAUUAGAAAAUAUUGUAUGAUAUGAUGGUUGGUUGCCUUACCUUGCUAUACUCAAUUUGUUCCUCUCCCUUCCACAGGUCUUGUUCAUAGUAGUACAGCCCGUCGUUGAUGGCUUUGGCCAGAUCGGCGGUUAUCUUGGCUCGGGACUCGUGGUUGCCUGUCCGGUCGCCACCAGGGUGUUUACGGAGGUGAGGAGGGGUCUGGGUGACAAUAAGGAUCUUGUUGACAUCUUGGUCGUCCAACUCGUAGUCCGAGUCGUCCUCAUCUGACCAGACAGUGAACUUGUUCUUCUUUGGAGCCAUCUGCUCCAUUUCUUCAUCGAACAGGAAGUCCAGCUCCUCCUGGUCAGGCUCAGCUGGCAGAGGACUCUGGUAGGUGGGAGGUGGUGUCUUCCUGUCCCCCUGGAUGACACAGAAGAUAAGCAUAUUCAUCAUGUCGUAUGUAGGGGCCUGUCUGUGGCGUUUCUCCACCUGGAUCCACGCAUCUGGGUCAGGUUUAGGCGUGGGGGCAUCUUUAGGGGCGUCUGUGGCAGAGAGCGACUCCUGGCUGGAGGAGCCGACAUCAGCAGAGUCCUGCAGCUCAGCAGACAGAGGAGGAGUCUCCUUCACAGGCGAUGAAGCUGAAAGAGUCGACACAUCAGACACACACAGCCUUCAGCGCCAUUUCAUAAAAUCACACCGCUCAGCUCUCAUUUGGGUUAGGUGGUGAUAAAGUGCACUGCUGAAAACAUCUUCACUAACAGAAAUAUUAAAAGAAAUGUGGAAUAUGAGCUCUGAUUGUGAUUUUGAGUUUCUGGAUAAUCAAUAAGAAACAGAAGUUGUAGUCCUAGUGCAUUGUGACCUGGGCUCUGGUGGAACUGGGGCAUGUUUAUUUACACUGUAUGCUGUGACUGGAACAAAACAAAACUGCAGUGUCAGUAAUUUGCUUUUCCAAAUCAUUAAACUCGCCCACUCCUCGGCCAGAGACUUUGAGCUUUUUGGUAGCUGUGAGUUUUUUUUUUCUUUUUACUAAACUGAUGUGCUAAACAUACUGAAAUUGUCAAAUACCAUGAAUAUAUGCUAACUAUCAUGUGCUAUAGCGUUUCGUCACAUUUCUUUCAUCUUCAAACAUUCAGUUAAAGACUGACCAGAGUUUGUGGAACUGAGGGUUUGUCUUGGAACAAACUCAGGGCAGUUGAUGAGCUGGGUGAAGUCGGUCCGAGGGGAGCCCACGAUGGGAGGGACGGCGAUGGGCCAACGCUCUGGGUCAACUUUACAGCGAACCCUGUCGUCCACCAGCUCCACCUCUGUGCUGCUCUUCAGAGCCUGGAGACAUUUAUAAUAAAAAUAUUUUUUCUCAUA
Betta splendens (Siamese fighting fish) is the source of this 3487-nucleotide long non-coding RNA. RefSeq lists it as uncharacterized. The record is from RefSeq and is a predicted model, not a curated record. Lineage: Eukaryota; Metazoa; Chordata; Actinopteri; Anabantiformes; Osphronemidae. The transcript is spliced from 3 exons.